RNAcentral lists this non-coding RNA (24 nucleotides) under Mus musculus (house mouse). The record is from RNAcentral. Lineage: Eukaryota; Metazoa; Chordata; Mammalia; Rodentia; Muridae.
UUCACAGUGAGUCCUUGGAUGUUA